GCCAAUGAUGAAAACUGAAUGGGAAGUGCCGUCUGAUGCGAUAACUGACGAUGUUUAAUACUUAACUCUUCUGAGG
Takifugu rubripes (torafugu) is the source of this 76-nucleotide small nucleolar RNA. Ensembl annotates it as small nucleolar RNA SNORD49. NCBI's taxonomy places the organism in Eukaryota, Metazoa, Chordata, Actinopteri, Tetraodontiformes, Tetraodontidae. The record is from Ensembl.